CCUUACUUUGUCCGUGUCAACAAACAAUUCGAAAUACCUCGACUUUUUCAGAACAGGUCCGAGUCAAAUAGCAAUGAUUCGAAGCACUUCUUUUUCCAUUACACUAUUUUGGAAUUUUUUUUUCUGUUCUGGCUCGGUUAUUCCAUCUAG
This 150-nucleotide ribosomal RNA is filed under the name Triticum aestivum (bread wheat). Its description in RNAcentral is "partial small subunit ribosomal RNA". The record is from RNAcentral. Lineage: Eukaryota; Viridiplantae; Streptophyta; Magnoliopsida; Poales; Poaceae.